RNAcentral lists this ribosomal RNA (471 nucleotides) under uncultured bacterium. RNAcentral's name for it is "SSU rRNA". It matches the Rfam family "Bacterial small subunit ribosomal RNA", at positions 26 to 518 of the family's 1533-position model. The record is from RNAcentral.
AGGACGAACGCUGGCGGCGCGCCUAAUACAUGCAAGUCGAGCGAGAACCAAGGCUUGCCCUGGGGAGAGCGGCGAACGGGUGCGUAUCACGUGAGCAACCUGCCUCAGAGACCGGGAUAACUCGAGGAAACUCGGGCUAAUACCGGAUGCCCUCGUUGGACCGCAUGGUUCGGCGAGGAAAUGGAUUCCGCUCUGAGAUGGGCUCGCGGCCUAUCAGCUUGUUGGUGGGGUAACGGCCUACCAAGGCAACGACGGGUAGCUGGUCUGAGAGGACGAUCAGCCACACUGGGACUGAGACACGGCCCAGACUCCUACGGGAGGCAGCAGUAGGGAAUCUUGCGCAAUGGGGGAAACCCUGACGCAGCGACGCCGCGUGCGGGAUGAAGGCCUUCGGGUCGUAAACCGCUUUCAGCAGGGACGAAUUGACGGUACCUGCAGAAGAAGGCCCGGCAACUACGCGCCAGCAGCCGC